CUCCCACCCGUGUUUACUGUACCUUAGUUGCUUCGGCGGGCCCGCCAUUCAUGGCCGCCGGGGGCUCUCAGCCCCGGGCCCGCGCCCGCCGGAGACACCACGAACUCUGUCUGAUCUAGUGAAGUCUGAGUUGAUUGUAUCGCAAUCAGUUAAAACUUUCAACAAUGGAUCUCUUGGUUCCGGCAUCGAUGAAGAACGCAGCGAAAUGCGAUAACUAGUGUGAAUUGCAGAAUUCCGUGAAUCAUCGAGUCUUUGAACGCACAUUGCGCCCCCUGGUAUUCCGGGGGGCAUGCCUGUCCGAGCGUCAUUGCUGCCCAUCAAGCACGGCUUGUGUGUUGGGUCGUCGUCCCCUCUCCGGGGGGGACGGGCCCCAAAGGCAGCGGCGGCACCGCGUCCGAUCCUCGAGCGUAUGGGGCUUUGUCACCCGCUCUGUAGGCCCGGCCGGCGCUUGCCGAACGCAAAUCAAUCUUUUUCCAGGUUGACCUCGGAUCAGGUAGGGAUACCCGCUGAACUUAAGCAUAUC
Molecule: ribosomal RNA, 523 nt
Filed under: Aspergillus oryzae
Lineage: Eukaryota; Fungi; Ascomycota; Eurotiomycetes; Eurotiales; Aspergillaceae
Description: eukaryotic LSU rRNA
Rfam family: 5.8S ribosomal RNA (bases 154-307)
Source: RNAcentral